Molecule: unclassified non-coding RNA, 267 nt
Filed under: plant metagenome
Description: partial contains small subunit ribosomal RNA, internal transcribed spacer 1, and 5.8S ribosomal RNA
Source: RNAcentral
GUAGGUGAACCUGCGGAAGGAUCAUUAAUGAGUUGUCAUGGGGUUCGAUGCUGGCAGCCAGUUUUUGGAUGCAUGUGCUUGCCCUAACAAUCAUCUUCUUCCAAACACCUGUGCGCAUUUUUGAGGGAGUCUUGAGUUGGUUGCCGCUCUUGGGUGAUUUUCUCACAUUCCCUUAAAUCAUUAUACGCUAUUAACAAUGUUGAACGUGCUCUGUGCCGCAAGGCCAUUAAUAUAAUACAACUUUUAACAACGGAUCUCUUGGCUCUC